Molecule: non-coding RNA, 1850 nt
Organism: Monodelphis domestica (gray short-tailed opossum)
Lineage: Eukaryota; Metazoa; Chordata; Mammalia; Didelphimorphia; Didelphidae
Source: RefSeq, a predicted model, not a curated record
CCUGGAAAUUGGACAGGAAACAAUUACUGCUUUACAGAAUUUAUCAGAGGAAAUGGUAAUAAAUCUUCUAACCACUAUUUCCCUCAUAGUACAUUUCUGACGCUAUUUCCCUAUAAUGGCACAUAAUGAAUCAAGAAGCAAAGGGAAAUAGUCCAUUAUCAACUUAGAAAAUAAUUCUUCAUUUUGUUUUGAAUCACCAGGGAUGAAGAAAGACUGAAAAAUGUUCAAUUAUGUAAUCAAAGUCACCGACUAAGAAAUUGUUUGAAGUGGUCAGCUGAACCCAAAUUUUGUUGAUAAGUCAGCACACUAUCCAUUUUGCUAUGCAACUGCCUUAUUUAUUGAAGUGGGUUUGCAGAUUCUUUGCAAAACUGAGGUUUUUAAAAACUGUUUUAAUACUUCCAUUUUAAGUAUACCUAACUUUUAUGAUAGAUUAAUCUGUUGAAUUAUAAAUGAAUUAUAAUUGAACUAAAAUAAUGAUAUUUUCAUCUAACCACUUAGCAGUGAAUAUGACAUUUAAAAAAAUUACUUUUCCUUGAAGUUAUAUUCCUGAUAUCUUUUAUUAGCAUUAAAAUCAAAGUUAUUUUAAAACAAAAGUAAUUAUUUUCACUUCUUUCUAUCCCUUUUCUCAAUAGUAUACCUAUGUAUGUCUGUGUAUUUGCAUGUAUGACUUAGGUACAAAUACAUACACAAGUAUGUGUUUAGAUUCACACAUUUAUAUACAAUAUAAAAUACAGGGCAUCUAUUAUAUGGAGAGACUGUAUGAUAUAAUGAAUAGGGAAAAUACCUGAAUUCAAGUUUUGCUUCUAUUUCAUUCCCUUUAUGUGACCAUGGGCAAGACACCUAACCCUUUGGUGCUGUUAGACAACUCUCUAAGACCAUAAAUUACAGUUGUGCAGCUAUGAAUUGUAACAAUUGGUCUUUAUAGCAAGAUAAAGAGAAGAUUCUAGAAAUGAAAAAUCCUGGAUCUACAUCCAGUCCAUCAAGACAGAUGCAGCAGAGGACUCUCAGAAAUAAUGGAAUAUGGAAAACACAAAAGACAAUCCAGAGGAGCAACGCUACGAAACCCAGGACUUGGAGACAAGCUAAAAGAAUAGUUCAUAUGGCAGGGCAAUCCUUGGAGGUGGCAAGCCUCCCCAGGACUGACCAAUCUUAACUAAGCUACUUCCCCCAAAAAAAAUUUACCCAAUUUUAAGUGGUUUCCUCACCCUUUGUUUUAACUCCAGCCCAAAUAUUCCAAGGAGUCUCAUCCAUUGAAUCUAUAACUGAUCAUAUCAUUCCCCUUCCACAACUUCUUUUCUUGUCACCCUUCCAGUACAUACGCCCUGUCCCUGGUGGUCAGACCCAAACAUCUAUAUUCUACUUCUACCUCAGAUAGCAAAAAUUGAUAUCAGACAUUUACUUACUUCAGCUUUGCUUGUCUGAUUUAAAUACAAAAGGAACAAAUGUAGCAGACAAAGCCUAAAAACCACCAGGAGCAAAGCUCUGGGAAAUACAGACCCUCAAAAAUCUGAAGCCAUAGUUCAGCUGAAGUUAAACAGGUAGCCCCAUAACCCUCCUUUCCAAUCCUCCCGCUGUGACUGAAUGUUCUUACAAAAUUACUGAUGUAUGUAUGCAUUCUCUGGGAAUCUGGGUUAGAUGACUGCAUAUUGACAUAUUGAUUUAUUAGCCUAUAGAAUUCUCUGUCUAGAUUCAAUGAGGUAAACCAAAUCCAUUGUACCAUCUUGUAAAUCAUUAGUUGAUCAUUACCUUUCAUUGUGUAUGUAAAAGCUUACCUAAGCUCUUAGCUUGCUUUCCCCACCAUAUAAAAGUAGAUGUAACUUUCAAUAAAGUGCCUCUGGUUUCUAUCAUCA